ACUAUGGAUUUUUUAAAAUCCAUAAACAGAGAAUUGAGGAUACUUU
Molecule: non-coding RNA, 46 nt
Organism: Chelonia mydas (Green sea turtle)
Lineage: Eukaryota; Metazoa; Chordata; Testudines; Cheloniidae
Source: Rfam